RNAcentral lists this ribosomal RNA (418 nucleotides) under uncultured bacterium. RNAcentral's name for it is "bacterial SSU rRNA". It matches the Rfam family "Bacterial small subunit ribosomal RNA", at positions 28 to 442 of the family's 1533-position model. The record is from RNAcentral.
GAUGAACGCUGACAGAAUGCUUAACACAUGCAAGUCGAUUCGAUUUACCUUCGGGUAUUGAGGAUGGCGGACGGGUGAGUAACGCGUAAGGAACUUGCCUCUUGGUCUGGGACAACUGUUGGGAAACGACAGCUAAUACCGGAUAUUAUGAGAUUCUCGCAUGGGAAACUUAUGAAAGCUAGUAUGCGGCCAAGAGAGAGCCUUGCGUUCCAUUAGCUAGUUGGUGGGGUAAUGGGCCACCAAGGCGACGAUGGAUAGCCGGCCUGAGAGGGUGAACGGCCACAAGGGGGACUGAGACACGGCCCUUACUCCUACGGGAGCAGCAGUGGGAAUAGUUGGACAAUGGGCCACGAAGUCCUGAUCCGAGCAAUUCUGUGUGCACGAUGAAGGUCUUCGGAUCGUAAAGUGCUUUCGAGUU